CCAUAGAGAAAAGGAAAAAACGAAUUAAAGUAGAAAAUAAAAGCUGAUUGCAACAGCAAAUAUUGAAACUAUUGGGAGACCAUAAACAGAUUCGCUCCGUUAAUUUUUGCAAAUUUCAUAAGUUAAACACUCUUAAUCCAUUCAUUUUCCAGCUGGCUUCCAACAAAUCGCUUGCAUUAAAUUUGUAUUAACUUUUUUUUGUAGUACGUGGUCGCUUCUCAGUGAGGUAAAACUUGUCUAGCGACUAUUUUCGACCCACUGAAACUUAUACCGCUCUUGGCACGUCAGUGCGUAACUUGCCGGGUUCGGAUUUAAAGCUUAAUGGAAAAUGUACGUAUAGUUUCCGCGAUUGAUUGUGCACUUUAAACAAGUAAAGUUUGCUUGACUUAUUUUAUAUCAAACCUAACUAGAAACGCCUUAUUACUUCGCAACAAAAAUACUGCCGAUAUAAUGGCUUCUAUAGAGGAGCGUUUUCAAGCCGCCGUCAAUGUGAUCAAAGGGUUGCCUAAAAAUGGCCCAUAUCAACCUAGCACCGCCAUGAUGCUCAAAUUUUACGGUUACUAUAAGCAAGCAACAGAAGGUCCGUGUCAUCAAAAGCGUCCUGGUUUUUGGGAUGUUGUUGGCAAAGCGAAAUGGGAUGCCUGGAAUGAUAAUCGACACUUAGAGAAACAUCAAGCAAUGGAACGUUACGUCAAUAAUUUGCGUGAAAUAAUUGAAACGAUGUCAUUUACCGAAAACGUACAAAACUUUGUUGGUAGUAUUAGUGGCUUGGACAAUAUAAAUUUAGAGGAACUGGAUAAGGUUGCACCGGGUAUGCGGGAACUUGCAGAAUCGCACCCGAAUUCUCCAUUCAAUUCGAGAACGAAUAGUCCACAACAUGGUGUGAGUUUGAAUGGUAGCAGUGGUGAAGAAGAUGAGCUUCCCACUAACUCUCCGAUAAACGGUUCCGUCUCACUCCAUAAUCAUCUCACUGAUAAUAAUUUAACAAAUGGCACAGCUGAACUCGAUGGCAUUAACGCCCCACAAACAAAUUCUAUAGUAUCUGCAAUACCAGAAAUACCUGUGACACACUCCACCUAUGCUAUGUCUAACGGCACUGUGGAUCAGUCUGAUGAUGAAUAUGGUGAUCCGGUGAAUAUGAAUAUAGAUAUUACUGAAGCAAUGCAGCAUAAUUCUGAAAUGCUUAAGCAAAUUCAAGCCACAGUGCUGCGCAUGAAUGCAGAUUUAGUAGCAGUAAAUCAACGCAUGAAUAGCUUGGAAAAGUUGUUGAAUGAUAUGCGUACAACUGCAGCGCAGAAAGCUACAAACCAAAACAGAGCCCGUGGAUACCCGAAAUGGUGGCCGUUUGCUGAUAUUUCACCGCUUUGGUUUACGUUACUAGUGUUAUGGCCUUUCGUGAUUAGAAGGUUAUCACGAGCAGUGACCGCACCACGCCGGAAGUAAAAGCAUGCGAAAUCGCAAGGUAGAAGAUGUCACAGUAGAAAUAUUACAAAUGUACAUUGACGUUACUGGAUGAAGGUUAACAUCUGAUACUUUCACAGCUUUACUUUAUUUACUUUUACUUUUGCGCAAAAUAAACUACAGAAUAAAUACUUUAUAUGCGAAUUUAAAUAUGCGCAAAUAACAUAAGUAAUAAGAAAGUGAAACAGCGGUAUAUAAAACUGGGAUCAGGUUUUGUGAUGCAUUGUAAUGUAAAAUUUAUUUUUACAAGUAUAUGUUUAUAUUUUGUAUUUUUGCAGCUUAUUCUAUUGUUUUUUUAUGUAGAUCCAUAUGUACCUUUAUUCAACAUUCCCUAGUGAAAUAGGUAGUGCUCAAAACUAUCGAAAAUAAUCUUUAAUAUAAGCAUACUGAAAAUGUAA
Molecule: RNA transcript, 1859 nt
Organism: Bactrocera tryoni
Lineage: Eukaryota; Metazoa; Arthropoda; Insecta; Diptera; Tephritidae
Gene name: acyl-CoA-binding domain-containing protein 5
Exons: 4
Source: RefSeq, a predicted model, not a curated record